This 482-nucleotide ribosomal RNA is filed under the name uncultured bacterium. RNAcentral describes it as "partial 16S ribosomal RNA". It matches the Rfam family "Bacterial small subunit ribosomal RNA", at positions 30 to 507 of the family's 1533-position model. The record is from RNAcentral.
AUUGAACGCUGGCGGCAUGCCUUACACAUGCAAGUCGAACGGUAACGGGCCUUCGGUUGCCGUCGAGUGGCGCACGGGUGAGUAAUACUUCGGAACGUGCCCGAUCGUGGGGGAUAACGAGGCGAAAGCUUUGCUAAUACCGCAUACGAUCUACUGUUUAAAGCAGGGGACCGCAAUGCCUUGCGCGGACGGAGCGGCCGCUGGCAGAUUAGGUAGUUGGUGGGUUAAAAGCUUACCAAGCCGACGAUCUGUAGCUGGUCUGAGAGGAUGAUCAGCCACACUGGGACUGAGACACGGCCCAGACUCCUACGGGAGGCAGCAGUGGGGAAUUUUGGACAAUGGGCGCAAGCCUGAUCCAGCCAUGCCGCGUGAAGGAUGAAGGCCUUCGGGUUGUAAACUGCUUUUGUACGGAACGAAAAGCCUUCUUUUAAUACAGGAGGGUCAUGACGGUACCGUAAGAAUAAGCACCGGCUAACUACGUG